Salarias fasciatus (jewelled blenny) is the source of this 153-nucleotide long non-coding RNA. RefSeq lists it as uncharacterized. The record is from RefSeq and is a predicted model, not a curated record. NCBI's taxonomy places the organism in Eukaryota, Metazoa, Chordata, Actinopteri, Blenniiformes, Blenniidae. The transcript is spliced from 3 exons.
CAUGAUUCACACUACAGGAGCAUGUAGGUGUUAAAUAAGAGAGACCCAAGGAUGGAGCCUUGAGCAACCCCACAAUUGAUUUUCAUAAUUACAUAUGUACACAAAAUAAUUCCUAUCUUGCAAGUAACAUUUAAACCAAUUUAAUGGAGUGCC